CUCUCUCUCUCUCUCUCUCUCUCUCUCUCAUCCGGCUCUCUCUCGCCUUUCACCUCUCUAUCAACUUCUCUCCUAAAUUUCAUCUUCUUAGAGCAAGAUUUCGGACAAAGUCCGAGAAUUAAAGUUGUUCUACGGAGCAAGGGCUUUCCGAAUAUCCAAGAAAAUUCAUGAUCGGACCACGUGGGAGUUCGGUUGACUUGGUCAAAGGGUCGGGUUUUGCUCAAAACCCUCGAGGUACACCAUAGGAGCACAGUCAUGGAGAGUAUGGAGUGCAUGCAGACAUCACAAGCUAAAGUUAUUUUCUAAAGUACUUGUCUUUCUUCGUAAAUCGAACUGCAUUGUACUAUUUUCUCUAGUUUGGAAUACUGCAUCAGUUUGACAGAUUUGUGAGAUUCGGGAAUUGUAUUGUAAUUUGGAGUAUCGUAUGUACUAUUGUGAGGAUUUGUAUUUAAAA
Rhododendron vialii is the source of this 454-nucleotide long non-coding RNA. RefSeq lists it as uncharacterized. The transcript has 2 exons. The record is from RefSeq and is a predicted model, not a curated record. NCBI's taxonomy places the organism in Eukaryota, Viridiplantae, Streptophyta, Magnoliopsida, Ericales, Ericaceae.